CAGUAAGCAUUGACUUUGCAUCUGAAAUCUGUUUUAGUUUUCUCUCUUUAGCUAUUUACCUGCUUCAUUGAAUCUGUGAGGCUGCCAGGGCCAGCUACAGCUGGGGUGGAGGCCUCUCCACCUUCUGAGCGGACGUGACCUAUUCCGAGGAGGCUUCUCUAUCAGCCUCAGACCCGAGUUUUUAGACCAGAACAGAGAAAUCACGAUUAGAAACCAGUCCACAAUACUGAUGUACCCUACAUGCUCCCACAAGACCCUGGAUGAAUAGAAGACAUGUCCAGAGCCCUCAAAAUGCAGUUUGCAGACAUGUUGAGCUCACACCGUGUGCUACCCCGAGGACAUCUCCAGGACCCACCCAAGGGACACACCU
This 370-nucleotide long non-coding RNA is filed under the name Heterocephalus glaber (naked mole-rat). RNAcentral describes it as "lncRNA (ENSHGLG00000034777.1)". Lineage: Eukaryota; Metazoa; Chordata; Mammalia; Rodentia; Bathyergidae. The record is from RNAcentral.